GCUUGGGAACUUGCCUUUGCGAGGGGGAUAACAGUUGGAAACGACUGCUAAUACCGCAUAAUGUCUACGGACCAAACGGGGCUUAGGCUUCGGCGCAGAGAGAGGCCCAAGUGAGAUUAGCUAGUUGGUGGGGUAAAGGCUCACCAAGGCGACGAUCUCUAGCUGUUCUGAGAGGAAGAUCAGCCACACUGGGACUGAGACACGGCCCAGACUCCUACGGGAGGCAGCAGUGGGGAAUAUUGCACAAUGGGGGGAACCCUGAUGCAGCCAUGCCGCGUGUGUGAAGAAGGCCUUCGGGUUGUAAAGCACUUUCAGUUGUGAGGAAAAGUGAGUAGUUAAUACCUGCUCACCGUGACGUUAACAACAGAAGAAGCACCGGCUAACUCCGUGCCAGCAGCCGCGGUAAUACGGAGGGUGCGAGCGUUAAUCGGAAUUACUGGGCGUAAAGCGCACGCAGGCGGUUUGUUAAGCUAGAUGUGAAAGCCCCGAGCUCAACUUGGGAUGGUCAUUUAGAACUGGCAGACUAGAGUCUUGGAGAGGGGAGUGGAAUUCCAGGUGUAGCGGUGAAAUGCGUAGAUAUCUGGAGGAACAUCAGUGGCGAAGGCGACUCCCUGGCCAAAGACUGACGCUCAUGUGCGAAAGUGUGGGUAGCGAACAGGAUUAGAUACCCUGGUAGUCCACACCGUAAACGCUGUCUACUAGCUGUUUGUGGCUUUAAGCCGUGAGUAGCG
Molecule: ribosomal RNA, 731 nt
Filed under: Alteromonas sp.
Lineage: Bacteria; Pseudomonadati; Pseudomonadota; Gammaproteobacteria; Alteromonadales; Alteromonadaceae
Description: bacterial SSU rRNA
Rfam family: Bacterial small subunit ribosomal RNA
Source: RNAcentral